GAGGGUGCAAGCGUUAUCCGGAUUUAUUAGGUUUAAAGGGUUCGCAGGCAGAAUUUUAAGUCAGUGGUGAAAGCCUACAGCUCAACUGUAGAACUGCCAUUGAAACUGAUAUUCUUGAGUAUAGAUGAAGUGGGCGGAAUAUGUCAUGUAGCGGUGAAAUGCAUAGAUAUGACAUGGAACACCAAUUGCGAAGGCAGCUCACUAAACUAUUACUGACGCUCAUGAACGAAAGCGUGGGGAGCAAACAGGAUUAGAUACCCUGGUAGUCCACGCCGUAAACUAUGAUCACUAGAUGUUGGCGAUAUAUUGUCAGUGUUUUAGAGAAAUCGUUAAGUGAUCCACCUGGGGAGUACGUUCGCAAGAAUGAAACUCAAAGGAAUUGACGGGGGCCCGCACAAGCGGAGGAGCAUGUGGUUUAAUUCGAUGAUACGCGAGGAACCUUACCAAGACUUAAAUGUAUUUUGACAGGUUGAGAAAUCAACUUUUCUUCGGACAAUUUACAAGGUGCUGCAUGGUUGUCGUCAGCUCGUGCCGUGAGGUGUCGGGUUAAGUCCCAUAACGAGCGCAACCCCUAUUUUUAGUUACCAGCGAGUCAUGUCGGGAACUCUAGAAAGACUGCCUGUGUAAUCAGUGAGGAAGGUGGAGAUGACGUCAAAUCAUCACGGCCCUUAUGUCUUGGGCUACACACGUGCUACAAUGGUCACUACAGUGGGCUGCCAUCUGGCAACAGAGAGCAAAUCCAUAAAGGUGAUCCCAGUUCGGAUCGGAGUCUGCAACUCGACUCUGUGAAGUUGGAUUCGCUAGUAAUCGUAUAUCAGCAAUGAUACGGUGAAUACGUUCCCGGGCCUUGUACACACCGCCCGUCAAGCCAUGGAAGUUUGUGGUGCCUGAAGUCAGUAACCGUAAGGAUCUGCCUAGGGUAAAACAGGUAACUAGGGCUAAGUCGUAACAAGGUAGCCGUACCGGAAGGUGUGGCUGGAAUAUCUCUUUUUUUGAGUAUUGUUUGUGUUUAAUUCUAUCUUCUUUUUCCUUUUUAAAGUCUCGUAGCUCAGCUGGUUAGAGCGCUACACUGAUAAUGUAGAGGUCGGCAGUUCGAGUCUGCCCGGGACUACAUUAAAAAGGGGGAUUAGCUCAGUUGGCUAGAGCGCUUGCCUUGCACGCAAGAGGUCAUCGGUUCGACUCCGAUAUUCUCCACUUAAUCUGUUAUUUUUAAUAACUAGAUAAAGUUCUUUGACAUAUUGUAAUGAAUAUAUAUAUAUAUACUUAAUUUUUAAAAGUUAUUAAGGGCGUAUGGCGGAUGCCUAGGCUCUCAUAGGCGAAGAAGGACGUGACAAGCUGCGAUAAGUUUCGAUAAGGUGCAAAUAACCUUUGAGUCGAAAAUUU
Molecule: small RNA, 1383 nt
Filed under: uncultured marine bacterium
Lineage: Bacteria
Description: bacterial SSU rRNA
Rfam family: Bacterial small subunit ribosomal RNA (bases 1-991)
Source: RNAcentral